This 744-nucleotide ribosomal RNA is filed under the name Parapallidocercospora thailandica. RNAcentral describes it as "eukaryotic LSU rRNA". It matches the Rfam family "Eukaryotic large subunit ribosomal RNA", at positions 95 to 871 of the family's 3401-position model. The record is from RNAcentral. Lineage: Eukaryota; Fungi; Ascomycota; Dothideomycetes; Mycosphaerellales; Mycosphaerellaceae.
GAAGCGGCAACAGCUCAAAUUUGAAAUCUGGCGCAAGCCCGAGUUGUAAUUUGUAGAGGAUGCUUCGAGGCAGCGGCCGUUCUAAGUUCCUUGGAACAGGACGUCAUAGAGGGUGAGAAUCCCGUAUGUGACCGGCCCGCACCUCAUACGUAGCUCCUUCGACGAGUCGAGUUGUUUGGGAAUGCAGCUCUAAACGGGAGGUAAAUUUCUUCUAAAGCUAAAUACCGGCUGGAGACCGAUAGCGCACAAGUAGAGUGAUCGAAAGAUGAAAAGCACUUUGGAAAGAGAGUUAAAAAGCACGUGAAAUUGUUGAAAGGGAAGCGCCUACAACCAGACUUCGCGGCAGUGUUCCGCCGGUCUUCUGACCGGUUCAUUCUCUGUCGCGAGGCCAUCAUCGUCUGGGGCCGCCGGAUAAGACUGGAGGAAUGUAGCUCCCUUCGGGGUGUGUUAUAGCUUCCAGUGAUGCGGCGCGUCUCGGGCGAGGUCCGCGCUUCGGCAAGGAUGAUGGCGUAAUGGUUGUCGGCGGCCCGUCUUGAAACACGGACCAAGGAGUCUAACAUCUAUGCGAGUGUUCGGGUGUCAAACCCCUACGCGUAAUGAAAGUGAACGGAGGUGGGAACUUUUUGUGCACCAUCGACCGAUCCUGAUGUCCUCGGAUGGAUUUGAGUAAGAGCAUAGCUGUUGGGACCCGAAAGAUGGUGAACUAUGCCUGAAUAGGGUGAAGCCAGAGGAAACUCUGGUGGA